UAAUUAUUUAUUUAUUUUUUAUUUUAAAAAAAUCGAAAUGAAGGGCGUCGGAAAGGUUUUCACGGUGACGGUUUUUGUUACGUUGUUGUGUUUGAUUUUUCCGAUUAUCGAUGCUCAGGGACCUGCUUCUGCUCCUUCCCCUUCAAGUGACGGGGCAACAAUUGAUCAAGGAGUGGCUUAUGUACUCAUGGUGGUUGCUUUGGCCUUGACCUACAUCAUUCACUAGCUCUUUAUUUUUUUUAUUUUUUAUUUUAUUUUAUCCUACAAAAAAUUUAUUGGGCUUGUUUUGACUUUUUUAAGUCAAACUUAAUUCUUUGUAAUGUAAAGAUUCUAUUUCUUUGGUUCAAUUCUGAAACGUUAAAUCAAAUGGAUUCAAUUUGUCC
Molecule: long non-coding RNA, 383 nt
Organism: Cynara cardunculus var. scolymus (artichoke)
Lineage: Eukaryota; Viridiplantae; Streptophyta; Magnoliopsida; Asterales; Asteraceae
Exons: 2
Source: RefSeq, a predicted model, not a curated record